This 253-nucleotide ribosomal RNA is filed under the name uncultured bacterium. Its description in RNAcentral is "partial 16S ribosomal RNA". It matches the Rfam family "Bacterial small subunit ribosomal RNA", at positions 524 to 776 of the family's 1533-position model. The record is from RNAcentral.
UACAGAGGGUGCGAGCGUUAAUCGGAAUUACUGGGCGUAAAGCGCACGUAGGCGGCUUGGUAUGUCGGGUGUGAAAUCCCCGGGCUCAACCUGGGAACUGCAUCCGAAACUGCCUUGCUCGAGUAUGGGAGAGGGAAGUGGAAUUUCCGGUGUAGCGGUGAAAUGCGUAGAUAUCGGAAGGAACAUCAGUGGCGAAGGCGACUUCCCGGACCAAUACUGACGCUCAGGUGCGAAAGCGUGGGGAGCAAACAGG